AUUCCAGCUCCAAUAGCGUAUAUUAAAGUUGUUGCAGUUAAAAAGCUCGUAGUUGGAUUUCUGCCAGGGUGCCAAUGUCCGCCGAAGUGCGUGCGCAGCGGCGCCCUCGCAUCCUUCUGUUAACGCCUCUCGGCAUUUACUUGCCGGUGGUGGGCUCAGAUAAUUUACCUUGAGAAAAUUAGAGUGUUUCAGGCAGGCUAGGCCGGAAUACAUUAGCAUGGAAUAAUGGAAUAGGACUACGGUCUCGUUGUUGGUUUGAGGGACUGGAGUAAUGAUUAAUAGGGAUAGUUGGGGGUAUUCGUAUUUAAUUGUCAGAGGUGAAAUUCUUGGAUUUAUGAAAGACGAACUUCUGCGAAAGCAUCUACCAAAGAUGUUUUCAUCA
Molecule: ribosomal RNA, 382 nt
Filed under: Pseudotontonia sp.
Lineage: Eukaryota; Ciliophora; Spirotrichea; Tontoniidae
Description: partial small subunit ribosomal RNA
Rfam family: Eukaryotic small subunit ribosomal RNA
Source: RNAcentral